GCUUCGGUAGUGCAAUGGAUCAGCACGGCAAGCCGGAGUUCUGUGUGUGCGGGUUCGAGUCCCGCCUGAGGGU
This 73-nucleotide transfer RNA is filed under the name Dictyocaulus viviparus (bovine lungworm). It matches the Rfam family "tRNA". From Rfam's summary of the family: Transfer RNA (tRNA) molecules are approximately 80 nucleotides in length. Lineage: Eukaryota; Metazoa; Nematoda; Chromadorea; Rhabditida; Metastrongylidae. The record is from Rfam by way of RNAcentral.